Long non-coding RNA from Poecilia latipinna (sailfin molly), 1000 nucleotides. RefSeq lists it as uncharacterized. Lineage: Eukaryota; Metazoa; Chordata; Actinopteri; Cyprinodontiformes; Poeciliidae. The transcript is spliced from 2 exons. The record is from RefSeq and is a predicted model, not a curated record.
GUGGCUAAAAUAUCAUUAUGUUAACAGCUGCUUCUGCUGAAUUUUAUUUUCCGUUGGUUUGCAUUUUUUUGUUUAUUUGUAUUAAUCCCCCCUCCCCCUCAACGAAAAUGGCGGAACCACACAAACAAGCCACAUUGGUGGAGUGGAUGAGUAAUUCUUCUCAGGCGACCUCCGCGUCAUGUACGCACACAAAGACGGCUACCGCUUAGUGCACACGCAGCAAGGUAAAUCUUCCUUAACUUUGUCUUAUUACGAACAACACUUAAACUUAACUGCAUCCAUAAAAUGUAUAAUAUUUUGAUUAAAAAAAUAAUAAUUGUAGUUAUUUUCAUGUGUUUACUUAGAGCAAAACCAGCCAGGAGUUAAUGUUCUCCCAACCUGAAAACACAACAAAAACAAAUAAUCUUUUUAUGUUUUUUAAGAUAAGAAAGUAAGCAAACCAGAAAAUAUUUGUUGCUCCUUUUGCCCGUUUGUUGCGACCAUUUAAAUAGUUGUUUUUUUUUCAUAUUGUAGAAAAGGUAAAAAAAAAAAAAAAAACAGCAAUUUUCAUUCAACAGACUAGAUUUCCUGCAAUGAAUAGCUUUUUAGUGUUCAGUGUUCAACCCCUUGAUAAUAGCUCCCAACAUAACAAUUUUAUAUUUACUAAAGCAAGGCUUUAUUCAAACAUGAUUUGGAAAACCCUUACAGGCUUGUUUUGUUCUGUUUUUACACCUACAUGUUUUAGCUCAUUCAGCUAAUUUUAAAAACAAACCAAGAUUACCUAAAGAAAUGCAAAAUGCAGAUUUGAAAUAAUUUUCUCUUUUACGGAGGAGUAAAGCAAUCCAAACCAACAGCUGAAAAUAUAAUUAACUCUUGUUUUUAAACCACAUUUUUUUUACUUUUUUUUUUUUUAAUUUCACCCAAACCUGAUUAGAGUAGCAUUUGAAGAAUCAAGAAAUUACACACACACACAAAACACACCUUGUUUGACAUCAUGAAGUGGGCUAAAAUAUGGCAAAAA